This 531-nucleotide unclassified non-coding RNA is filed under the name Hevea brasiliensis (rubber tree). Lineage: Eukaryota; Viridiplantae; Streptophyta; Magnoliopsida; Malpighiales; Euphorbiaceae. The record is from RNAcentral.
AUUAUCUUCAAUCGCACUUCACUAUCCUUCUGAAUCUUAACUGAUCCAUCCGAAGUUGUAUAGUUUGGCAUAUCUCCAGAUUGAAACUCCAUAUCAUCAGGUAUUAGAUGGUUUGAAACAAAAAUUUGAACUGGUCCAGCUUCAGCAAAAAAUCCCAUCUUGUUUACCAUGGUAACAACAGCUUCCAGAAUCUCUCCUUUAAACGGCCUGAACACAACACACUGGUACUUCACUGGAAAUGUCACAAAUCCUGUUCCAUCUCGGAUCAACCCUUUCCCAAUGUUCUCUAUGCCGGUUAUUGCCACCACAAAUCCAUGCCGACCACUGCAAGUGCCCUCGACAUCUUUCAUGAGCUUGGAGACCAGAUUAUCGCGAAGGUUGCGGCCGAAGUAGCGUGGAUGCAAUUGCAUAUUCCUUUCCAAUACUAUGUGGAAAAACAUCUUCUCUUUCUGUCUCUCUCCCCCUCUGUAUCAAUGCUUCCCUUCCCCUGGUUAGAAUGAGAAGAGACUACACAAAGGGGCAAGAUGAAUG